GCAGUCGACGGGAAAUAUUUCAUUGAGACUUCGGUGGAUUUGAUCUAUUUCUAGUGGCGGACGGGUGAGUAACGCGUGGGUAACCUGCCUUAUACAGGGGGAUAACAGUCAGAAAUGGCUGCUAAUACCGCAUAAGCGCACAGAGCUGCAUGGCUCAGUGUGAAAAACUCCGGUGGUAUAAGAUGGACCCGCGUUGGAUUAGCUUGUUGGUGGGGUAACGGCCCACCAAGGCGACGAUCCAUAGCCGGCCUGAGAGGGUGAACGGCCACAUUGGGACUGAGACACGGCCCAGACUCCUACGGGAGGCAGCAGUGGGGAAUAUUGCACAAUGGGGGAAACCCUGAUGCAGCGACGCCGCGUGAAGGAAGAAGUAUCUCGGUAUGUAAACUUCUAUCAGCAGGGAAGAUAGUGACGGUACCUGACUAAGAAGCCCCGGCUAACUACGUGCCAGCAGCCGCGGUAAUACGUAGGGGGCAAGCGUUAUCCGGAUUUACUGGGUGU
RNAcentral lists this ribosomal RNA (501 nucleotides) under uncultured bacterium. RNAcentral describes it as "bacterial SSU rRNA". It matches the Rfam family "Bacterial small subunit ribosomal RNA", at positions 57 to 561 of the family's 1533-position model. The record is from RNAcentral.